GAUGAACGCUGGCGGCGUGCCUAAUACAUGCAAGUCGAGCGAAGCGGGGACGGGUGAGUAACACGUGGAAAACUUCCUAUAAGACUGGGAUAAUUCUGGGAACCGGGAGCUAAACCGGAUACUUACAGAUGGAUCCGCGCUGCAUUAGCUAGUUGGUAAGGUAACGGCCUACCAGGGCAACGAUGCAUAGCCGACCUGAGAGGGUGAUCGGCCACACUGGAACUGAGACACGGUCCAGACUCCGACGGGAGGCAGCAGUAGGGAAUCUUCCGCAAUGGGCGAAAGCCUGACGGAGCAACGCCGCGUGAGUGAUGAAGGUCUUCGGAUCGUAAAACUCUGUUAUUAGGGAAGCGGUACCUAAUCAGAAAGCAACGGCUAACUACGGGCCAGCAGCCGCGGUAAUAC
RNAcentral lists this ribosomal RNA (405 nucleotides) under uncultured bacterium. Its description in RNAcentral is "partial 16S ribosomal RNA". It matches the Rfam family "Bacterial small subunit ribosomal RNA", at positions 28 to 526 of the family's 1533-position model. The record is from RNAcentral.